GUGGGGAAUCUUGCGCAAUGGGCGAAAGCCUGACGCAGCCAUGUCGCGUGAAUGAUGAAGGUCUUAGGAUUGUAAAAUUCUUUCACCGGGGACGAUAAUGACGGUACCCGGAGAAGAAGCUCCGGCUAACUUCGUGCCAGCAGCCGCGGUAAUACGAAGGGGGCUAGCGUUGCUCGGAAUUACUGGGCGUAAAGGGCGCGUAGGCGGACAGCUUAGUCAGAGGUGAAAGCCCAGGGGUCAACCUGGGAAUUGCCUUUGAUACUGGCUGUCUUGAGUUUGGGAGAGGUGAGUGGGACUCCGAGUGUAGAGGUGAAAUUCGUAGAUAUUCGGAAGAACACCAGUGGCGAAGGCGACUCACUGGCCCAAUACUGACGCUGAGGCGCGAAAGCGUGGGGAGCAAACAGGAUUAGAAACCCUGGUAGUCC
RNAcentral lists this ribosomal RNA (425 nucleotides) under uncultured bacterium. RNAcentral's name for it is "partial 16S ribosomal RNA". It matches the Rfam family "Bacterial small subunit ribosomal RNA", at positions 354 to 796 of the family's 1533-position model. The record is from RNAcentral.